RNAcentral lists this ribosomal RNA (376 nucleotides) under uncultured bacterium. RNAcentral's name for it is "bacterial SSU rRNA". It matches the Rfam family "Bacterial small subunit ribosomal RNA", at positions 524 to 898 of the family's 1533-position model. The record is from RNAcentral.
CACGUAGGAGGCAAGCGUUAUCCGGAUUUAUUGGGCGUAAAGGGCAAGUAGGCGGUGGCCAAAGUUGGGCGUGACAUCUCUCGGCUCAACCGGGAAGGUGCGUCCAAAACUAGGUCACUAGAGGGCAGGAGAGGGAAGCGGAAUUUCCAGUGUAGCGGUGGAAUGCUCAGAUAUUGGAAAGAACACCAGUGGCGAAGGCGGCUUCCUGGCCUGUACCUGACGCUGAGAGGCGAAAGCUAGGGUAGCAAACGGGCUUAGAUACCCCGGUAGUCCUAGCUGUAAACGUUGGAUACUAGGUAUUGGGGGAGUAGAGUCCCUCAGUGCCGAAGCAAACGCGUUAAGUAUCCCGCCUGGGGACUACGGCCGCAAGGUUAAA